RNAcentral lists this ribosomal RNA (460 nucleotides) under uncultured bacterium. Its description in RNAcentral is "partial 16S ribosomal RNA". It matches the Rfam family "Bacterial small subunit ribosomal RNA", at positions 338 to 795 of the family's 1533-position model. The record is from RNAcentral.
CCUACGGGUGGCAGCAGUGAGGAAUAUUGGUCAAUGGCCGGAAGGCUGAACCAGCCAUGCCGCGUGAAGGUCAGUGCCCUAUGGGCGUUAAACUUCUUUUGUGCGGGAGCAAUAAUGGUCACGUGUGGCCAGACGAGAGUACCGUACGAAUAAGCAUCGGCUAACUCCGUGCCAGCAGCCGCGGUAAUACGGGGGAUGCAAGCGUUAUCCGGAUUUAUUGGGUUUAAAGGGUGCGUAGGCUGUGAGGUAAGUCAGCGGUGAAAUGCCCCCGCGCAACGGGGUGAAGUGCCAUUGAUACUGCCUGGCUGGAAUGCGGAUGCCGUGGGAGGAAUGUGUGGUGUAGCGGUGAAAUGCAUAGAUAUAACACAGAACACCGAUUGCGAAGGCAUCUCACGAAUCCGCGAUUGACGCUGAUGCACGAAAGCGUGGGUAUCAAACAGGAUUAGAUACCCUAGUAGUC